UAAAAAGGAAACUAGCUUAAUAAAAAUAUUUUAUUGCAUUAAUGAAAAAACCAGACCUGACUCUACCUUUGUACGUAUCAUUAUAAAAUAGAGUCUUGUUGCUGACGUGACUUGAAAUCAUUAUAAAAUAGUCUUGUUGCUGACGUGACUUGAAAUAGAGCCCACAACGACCUCUACCUUUGAACAUGCCCAUACUGGUUAUUGUUCUUUAACGAAGAGAAAAGACAUCAAUUCAUACUGAUUACUCCAUGUUAAUACAUUUGAAGUUUUGAAUCUUCACAUUGAUGAUUCCAUGUAAAUCUGGAUUUGCGACAACAUAAACUUUCACUUAUGAUGAUCGUCCUUCGGGUUCCAAGUGGGGAGGCUAGCUUGUCUGCAAAUUGCUCCAAGAUUAGCUUACUACUACUGAUUUCAUAAUUAAUUCUCUCUCCAUGGGCCAUAAGAUCUUGAUGUGCAUUAGCAAAUCGAUCAAAGGUCCAAUAUAAUGUACAUACAUACCCCAAACUUUGACAAAAACAGAAAGAAAAAAAGGAGGAGAAUUUUAAUACUUUAUUACAAAAGUGAAAGGAGAAAAGAAAAACAAAAGGCCGGCCAAUAGAUUUCAUGAUCAUACGUACCACUAGCUAGUGUACUACCCUGCACUAACACUUGAUGAUUAUCUAACCGAUUACCUUAACCAUGCAUGCUUAGCUCCUCAAUUGUUCACCACAGCUAGCUAGCACACUCUCUCUCAGCUUCUAGCUCGAUCAGCUCGUCGUUGUCUCAGGCGGCGCCGCCGNNN
Molecule: long non-coding RNA, 781 nt
Filed under: Oryza brachyantha (malo sina)
Lineage: Eukaryota; Viridiplantae; Streptophyta; Magnoliopsida; Poales; Poaceae
Description: long non-coding RNA (OBRA_LNC001493)
Source: RNAcentral